Molecule: long non-coding RNA, 1048 nt
Organism: Onychostoma macrolepis
Lineage: Eukaryota; Metazoa; Chordata; Actinopteri; Cypriniformes; Cyprinidae
Exons: 3
Source: RefSeq, a predicted model, not a curated record
AUCACGUAUUUAUCAGGGAGGGGCUUCAUAAAACCAGGAAAUAUUCGGGGCAUUCAAGGGACAGAUAGGUGUGGAAUAAAGAUGGGCUACCGAUGAACAUGCACAGAAGUGCAGGACAUAUAACGGACAAAUGAGGAACAUCUUCACCGGUGAGGCAACAAAUAACAGUUCUCUGGUGGAUUUCCAAGGAUUCGCUGCAUUAGCGACAACUCUGGCCCGCACAACAGCAUAUGCAUGCUGACACGCGCACAAAUAAUUAUUACAAAUAUCACACCUCCCCAAGGACAAGCUCCAGCCAACUGCACUCCGCUUCCGAUGAUGAAGUUCUCAUUAUGCUCGCAACUCAAUUGAAUGACCUCAGCAGGUCCUGGCUGAUUAACAAGUACCGAUGAGAGGCCGGAGAGCAACACUGAGAAACGGGCUUCCAUACAAGAGGAUCCGAAGGCAAGAGGAGAUGAAUAAAUUAAAGGAGGCAGUAUAGAAGAAAAAUUGAAGGAGAGAUUGGAAAAUACAGGGGACAGAAAAAGAGACAUGGCUAAAAGAAAUUGGGGCCGAAGCAAAAACAUAAAAACAAAACGGAACAGAAAGAAGAGGAGGAUUUGAGGUUAUAGCAGAGAGGUUUUCACAGAAGAAUACAUCACAUACAGAAGUGCUUAAAAAUCAGGCUUUUCACUGAUUUAUGAUGUUUAAUUGUCAAAAUAAAAGUACAAAUAAUGAAAUCUGACAACCAGACAGCUAGAAUUAGGAAAUAACAGGACAGGAGAUUAAAAAAGCAGCUGAUAGAGAUUCAGACAGAUUCUCACCACCACAAACGAUACACAGGAACUCCCAAAACAUCCAUAUCCUCUCCAGCACACUGCAGAGAGAAACCUGGCACUGAAGGGAUUCAGUACCUGAAGCAUCUAUUCAAAACAUCCUCUCCAGAAUAAAGCCAUAUUUUUGUGAAGAGCAAGGCUGACGGCACAUUCAUGGGCAUGAAUGCACAAAAUGUGCAUUUAAAAUCUCUUCUGCUCACCAAGGCUACAUUUAUUUAAUUGUGCGGCAUUUA